Molecule: ribosomal RNA, 492 nt
Filed under: uncultured bacterium
Lineage: Bacteria
Description: partial 16S ribosomal RNA
Rfam family: Bacterial small subunit ribosomal RNA
Source: RNAcentral
AGUGAACGCUGGCGGUAGGCCUAACACAUGCAAGUCGAACGGCAGCACAGUAAGAGUUUGCUCUUACGGGUGGCGAGUGGCGGACGGGUGAGGAAUACAUCGGAAUCUACUUUUUCGUGGGGGAUAACGUAGGGAAACUUACGCUAAUACCGCAUACGACCUACGGGUGAAAGCAGGGGAUCUUCGGACCUUGCGCGAUUGUAUGAGCCGAUGUCGGAUUAGCUAGUUGGCGGGGUAAAGGCCCACCGAGGCGACGAUACGUAGCUGGUCUGAGAGGAUGACCAGCCACACUAGAACUGAGACGCGGUACAGACUCCUACGGGAGGCAGCAGUGGGGAAUAUUGGACAAUGGGCGCAAGCCUGAUCCAGCCAGACCGCGUGAGUGAAGAAGGCCUUCGGGUCGUAAAGCCCUUUUAUUGGGAAAGAAAAGCUGCAUGUUGAUACCCCGCUGUUCUGACGGUACCCAAAGAAUAAGCACCGGCUAACUUCGUG